Molecule: ribosomal RNA, 1533 nt
Filed under: Bacillus siamensis
Lineage: Bacteria; Bacillati; Bacillota; Bacilli; Caryophanales; Bacillaceae
Description: bacterial SSU rRNA
Rfam family: Bacterial small subunit ribosomal RNA
Source: RNAcentral
UUUGAGUUUGAUCCUGGCUCAGGACGAACGCUGGCGGCGUGCCUAAUACAUGCAAGUCGAGCGGACAGAUGGGAGCUUGCUCCCUGAUGUUAGCGGCGGACGGGUGAGUAACACGUGGGUAACCUGCCUGUAAGACUGGGAUAACUCCGGGAAACCGGGGCUAAUAGGGGAUGGUUGUUUGAACCGCAUGGUUCAGACAUAAAAGGUGGCUUCGGCUACCACUUACAGAUGGACCCGCGGCGCAUUAGCUAGUUGGUGAGGUAACGGCUCACCAAGGCGACGAUGCGUAGCCGACCUGAGAGGGUGAUCGGCCACACUGGGACUGAGACACGGCCCAGACUCCUACGGGAGGCAGCAGUAGGGAAUCUUCCGCAAUGGACGAAAGUCUGACGGAGCAACGCCGCGUGAGUGAUGAAGGUUUUCGGAUCGUAAAGCUCUGUUGUUAGGGAAGAACAAGUGCCGUUCAAAUAGGGCGGCACCUUGACGGUACCUAACCAGAAAGCCACGUUUAAUUACGUGGGAGCAGCCGCGGUAAUACGUAGGUGGCAAGCGUUGUCCGGAAUUAUUGGGCGUAAAGGGCUCGCAGGCGGUUUCUUAAGUCUGAUGUGAAAGCCCCCGGCUCAACCGGGGAGGGUCAUUGGAAACUGGGGAACUUGAGUGCAGACCAGGAGAGUGGAAUUCCACGUGUAGCGGUGAAAUGCGUAGAGAUGUGGAGGAACACCAGUGGCGAAGGCGACUCUCUGGUCUGUAACUGACGCUGAGGAGCGAAAGCGUGGGGAGCGAACAGGAUUAGAUACCCUGGUAUUCCACGCCGUAAACGAUGAGUGCUAAGUGUUAGGGGGUUUCCGCCCCUUAGUGCUGCAGCUAACGCAUUAAGCACUCCGCCUGGGGAGUACGUUCGCAAGACUGAAACUCAAAGGAAUUGACGGGGGCCCGCACAAGCGGUGGAGCAUGUGGUUUGGUUCGAUUCAACGCGAAGAACCUUACCAGGUCUUGACAUCCUCUGACAAUCCUAGAGAUAGGACGUCCCCUUCGGGGGCAGAGUGACAGGUGGUGCAUGGUUGUCGUCAGCUCGUGUCGUGAGAUGUUGGGUUAAGUCCCGCAACGAGCGCAACCCUUGAUCUUAGUUGCCAGCAUUCAGUUGGGCCACUCUAAGGUGACUGCCGGUGACAAACCGGAGGAAGGUGGGGAUGACGUCAAAUCAUCAUGCCCCUUAUGACCUGGGCUACACACGUGCUACAAUGGGCAGAACAAAGGGCAGCGAAACCGCGAGGUUAAGCCAAUCCCACAAAUCUGUUCUCAGUUCGGAUCGCAGUCUGCAACUCGACUGCGUGAAGCUGGAAUCGCUAGUAAUCGCGGAUCAGCAUGCCGCGGUGAAUACGUUCCCGGGCCUUGUACACACCGCCCGUCACACCACGAGAGUUUGUAACACCCGAAGUCGGUGAGGUAACCUUUAUGGAGCCAGCCGCCGAAGGUGGGACGAGAUGAUUGGGGUGAAUGCAGUAAGUUCCUGGCAAGGUAGCCGAUCGAUGC